Molecule: transfer RNA, 95 nt
Filed under: Bordetella pertussis
Lineage: Bacteria; Pseudomonadati; Pseudomonadota; Betaproteobacteria; Burkholderiales; Alcaligenaceae
Description: tRNA-Trp(cca)
Source: RNAcentral
AGGACAUGGGCCGGCGGGUGCAGGCGGGCCGGCUCCAGCCCGGCCAGCGCGGCCACGGUUUCGGUAUCGCCCGGUUCUUCGGCCGUGGUUUCCUU